GCUUACGGCCACACCGCCUGGUUCACGCCCGAUCUCGUUUGAUCUCGGAAGCUAAGAUAGGUUGGGCCUGGUUAGUACUUGGAUGGGAGACCGCCUGGGAUUACCAGGUGCUGUAAAUU
Scophthalmus maximus (turbot) is the source of this 119-nucleotide ribosomal RNA. NCBI's taxonomy places the organism in Eukaryota, Metazoa, Chordata, Actinopteri, Pleuronectiformes, Scophthalmidae. The record is from Ensembl.